CCUACGGGUGGCAGCAGUGGGGGAUAUUGCACAAUGGGGGAAACCCUGAUGCAGCGACGCCGCGUGGGUGAAGAAGCGCCUCGGCGCGUAAAGUCCUGUCAGCAGGGAAGAAAAUGACGGUACCUGAAUAAGUAGCCCCGGCUAACUACGUGCCAGCAGCCGCGGUAAUACGAUGGGGGCAAGCGCUAUCUGGUUUUACUGGGUGAAAAGGGGGCGCAGACGGUGAUGCAAGCCAGGUGGGAAAGCCCGGGGCCCAAACCCGGGACUGCUCUUGGAACUGGGUGGCUGGAGUGCAGGAGGGGCAGGCGGAAUUCCAGGUGAAGCGGUGAAAUGCGUAGAUAUCAGGAGGAACACCGAUGGCGAAGGCGGCCUGCUGGACUGCAACUGACGUUGAGGCCCGAAAGCGUGGGGAGCAAACAGGAUUAGAUACCCGAGUAGUC
This 440-nucleotide ribosomal RNA is filed under the name uncultured bacterium. Its description in RNAcentral is "partial 16S ribosomal RNA". It matches the Rfam family "Bacterial small subunit ribosomal RNA", at positions 338 to 795 of the family's 1533-position model. The record is from RNAcentral.